CUAGGUGACACGCAGGGGUUCACAGCUGAGGGGGGCACGCGCUAGGUGACACGCAGGGGUUCACAGCUGAGUUGGGCACGCGCUAGGUGACACGCAGGGGUUCGCAGCUGAGGCAGGCACGCGCUAGGUGACACGCAGGGGUUCGCAGCUGAGGCGGGCACGCGCUAGGUGACACGCAGGGGUUCGCAGCUGAGGCAGGCACGCGCUAGGUGACACGCAGGGGUUCACAGCUGAGGCGGGCACACGCCAGGUGACACGCAGGGGUUCGCAGCUGAGGCGGGCACGCGCCAGGUGACACGCAGGGGUUCACAGCUGAGGCGGGCACAUGCUAGGUGACACGCAGGGGUUCGCAGCUGAGGCGGGCACGCGCCAGGUGACACACAGGGGUUCGCAGCUGAGGCGGGCACGCGCCAGGUGACACGCAGGGGUUCGCAGCUGAGGCGGGCACGCGCUUGUCCAGGCACCCAGGCAGCUAAGAGAGGCUCCUGUGGUGGGACUGGAAGGCCCACACCAUGCGCGAACAGCACGCCUGGGCUCUGAGCCUGGUCCA
Non-coding RNA from Oryctolagus cuniculus (rabbit), 550 nucleotides. The record is from RefSeq and is a predicted model, not a curated record. NCBI's taxonomy places the organism in Eukaryota, Metazoa, Chordata, Mammalia, Lagomorpha, Leporidae.